GCUCGCAUGGCUUAGUGGUAAAGCGCAUGACUAGUAUGAAAAGCUAUCAUGAGAUCCUCGGUUCGACUCCGAGUGUGAGCA
This is a non-coding RNA of Penicillium roqueforti FM164, 81 nucleotides long. The record is from Rfam. NCBI's taxonomy places the organism in Eukaryota, Fungi, Ascomycota, Eurotiomycetes, Eurotiales, Aspergillaceae.